This is a long non-coding RNA of Apis florea (little honeybee), 605 nucleotides long. The record is from RefSeq and is a predicted model, not a curated record. NCBI's taxonomy places the organism in Eukaryota, Metazoa, Arthropoda, Insecta, Hymenoptera, Apidae.
AUUAUAGACAUAGUUAAUAGUUUUUUAUUUUUAUUUUUCUUUUAAUAUUCGUUUUCGAGAUAGAGUCAGUGCUUUUACAAGAUAGAAUCAGUGUUUCUCAAGAGAAUAAGGCGAUCAUCCAUCACGCGAAGAGUUUCCAUUUCCUGAUGAUGAUAUUUGAUAUCCCAUGAGUUAUGUCAAUGCAGAUUCUUCGCAUCAUUGGUGAGUCGCAUGCAUUUAUGUUCCUCUGAUUACUCAAUCAUGUCGUAGGAUGAAAGAUCCGAAUCGACACGAGUAAUUGGUUGUAUACGUAGAUUUUUGCACGAGCACAGUGACCACGGGUAUUUAUUAUAUCCAUUUAACCCUUUCCAUAUCUAUUGCCAGGAUCUCACUCACGUGCUCAGGUGCUACUUGAAUGAGAGAAAGGCGAUGGGUAUGAUGAUCAUAGUUCAUAAACUUAUAACAAUUUUUCAGCGAUUGACGAUGCAUUAGCGUAUCGUGCACGACGUAUUUUCUACAUUGUGUGUGUAUGAUUAGGCUGUGGAAUUGCGUCGUUUUAUUUAUUAUUUCAUAUAAUUUGCAAUUUUUUUUAAAUAUUCACAAUUAUUAAUUUCAUUCAAUAAUAU